AUUGAACGCUGGCGGCAUGCCUUACACAUGCAAGUCGAACGGCAGCACGGGAGCAAUCCUGGUGGCGAGUGGCGAACGGGUGAGUAAUAUAUCGGAACGUGCCCAGUCGUGGGGGAUAACGUAGCGAAAGCUACGCUAAUACCGCAUACGAUCUACGGAUGAAAGCGGGGGAUCGCAAGACCUCGCGCGAUUGGAGCGGCCGAUAUCAGAUUAGCUAGUUGGUGGGGUAAAAGCUCACCAAGGCGACGAUCUGUAGCUGGUCUGAGAGGACGACCAGCCACACUGGAACUGAGACACGGUCCAGACUCCUACGGGAGGCAGCAGUGGGGAAUUUUGGACAAUGGGCGCAAGCCUGAUCCAGCAAUGCCGCGUGCAGGAUGAAGGCCUUCGGUUGUAACUGCUUUGUACGGUAACGAAACGGUGAGCUCUAAUAAAGACUUGCUAAUGACGGUACCGUAAGAAUAAGACACCGGCUAACUACGUGCC
RNAcentral lists this ribosomal RNA (486 nucleotides) under uncultured bacterium. RNAcentral's name for it is "bacterial SSU rRNA". It matches the Rfam family "Bacterial small subunit ribosomal RNA", at positions 30 to 509 of the family's 1533-position model. The record is from RNAcentral.